AAAACCUCCAUUUGUCUGCCAAAACCAAGCCUCCACGAAAACCUCCCCCAGCUCAAUCCACCAAAACCUAGCCUCUGUUAGGCGAAAACCUCCCCUACGUUGCAUUUGCCCACUAAAACCUACCCUUUGUCGAAACUUAGCCUAUGCUCCGUGAAAACCUCCCCCAUGAAAACCUACAUCUGUCCACCAAAACCUAGCCUCCACGAAGCAAAAACCUCCAUCUCUGGCCAAAACCUAGCCUCCACAAAAACCUCUAUCUCCUCCAAAACCUAGCAGCCAUGAAAACUUCCCCUUUGCCAAAACCUCCCCUCCAACAAAACUCCACCAAAAACCCACGCAGCCUGCGACCUAGCUUCCUCCGCCACUCCUCCAUGUCGCUCGUGACCUAGCCUCCACCACUCUUCCAUGACUGUGAGGUGUUCAAGACAGUUGCCGUUGAUGGAAAUGUCUCUUCUCGUGUGAGUAGUGAGUCGUACGUCUUUCCCAUCAAGUGGUGUCUACUACAAGGACCGUUGAUCUGGAGGAAGCUUACUUACCUGACUUACCAUGUUGUACUCAUCGGUAGAGGCUCCCCCUUCAUUAAUGCUCUUCUCAGAAGUGACUUCAUCUUCAGAUAAAGGUAAAGGGAAGAUGGAAUA
This is a long non-coding RNA of Zingiber officinale, 638 nucleotides long. RefSeq lists it as uncharacterized. NCBI's taxonomy places the organism in Eukaryota, Viridiplantae, Streptophyta, Magnoliopsida, Zingiberales, Zingiberaceae. The transcript has 3 exons. The record is from RefSeq and is a predicted model, not a curated record.